This 447-nucleotide ribosomal RNA is filed under the name uncultured bacterium. Its description in RNAcentral is "partial 16S ribosomal RNA". It matches the Rfam family "Bacterial small subunit ribosomal RNA", at positions 29 to 523 of the family's 1533-position model. The record is from RNAcentral.
AACGAACGCUGGCGGCAGGCUUAACACAUGCAAGUCGAGCGCGUAGCAAUACGAGCGGCAGACGGGUGAGUAACGCGUGGGAACGUACCCUUUUCUACGGAAUAACCCAGGGAAACUUGGACUAAUACCGUAUACGCCCUUCGGGGGCAAGAUUUAUCGGAGAAGGAGCGGCCCGCGUUGGAUUAGCUAGUUGGUGGGGUAAAGGCCUACCAAGGCGGCGAUCCAUAGCUGGUCUGAGAGGAUGAUCAGCCACAUUGGGACUGAGACACGGCCCAAACUCCUACGGGAGGCAGCAGUGGGGAAUAUUGGACAAUGGGCGCAAGCCUGAUCCAGCCAUGCCGCGUGAGUGAUGAAGGCCUUAGGGUUGUAAAGCUCUUUCACCGGGGAAGAUAAUGACGGUACCCGGAGAAGAAGCCCCGGCUAACUUCGUGCCAGCAGCCGCAGUAA